RNAcentral lists this ribosomal RNA (729 nucleotides) under Triticum aestivum (bread wheat). RNAcentral describes it as "partial small subunit ribosomal RNA". The record is from RNAcentral. Lineage: Eukaryota; Viridiplantae; Streptophyta; Magnoliopsida; Poales; Poaceae.
AUGGCCAAGAUGGCCGUAAAAUUUAAAGACACCGCUGACCGUUGCCAGUUCCUUGAAGAAGAGAACCGAGUGAAGGCAGCGGACCUUGAAAAGGCCACGGUGGAGACCAAAGACACCCGCUCUGCUAUGAGGGAGAAGAAGGAGGAGCUGCGUGAAGCCGGGGAUAUUGCGGCUGGGAAGCCCUUUCUGCUGCAGAGGAAGUUCGGAGAUCCGCGGUAUGCCCCUCUAGAUCAGCUGUGGAGUUCGGCAGACGCAUAUAUGGACUUGGCAACGAGCGCUGUCGAUGUGGUCGAAUACUUUCGAGAUCAGACAGAUCGUGAAGUGGACAAGCUGUUCUGGUCGCAAUUUAACGUUCCAGAGCGUCCGCUUCCCUUGACUGAUCAGCUAGCCGAAUGGGCCGAACUUAAUAGAUUGUCCGGACUUGCCACGAGGUCCGUUGUAGAUCAUCUGUGGCCGGGGAAGCCGAAGUCGAACAACUAUUUCAGCUUAGUGCAGCAGUUCCUUGGUGCGGUGCCGCGCAUCAAUGCGAUGAAGAGGUCAGCGUGCAUAGAAGGCUCGCGGAUGGCCCUUGCCCGUGUCAAAGUAUACUGGGCGAAGAUGGAUGCUACCACUAUUGCGGCGCAGGGUUCGGCCAUAGGCCGAGUGGCUGCCGAGCACUAUUUUGAAAAAGUUCUUGAGGGUGCUCGUUUGAUAGAGGCCCAGUGCUUGAAGAAUAUUAUGUUUGAGUGA